CCAUGUGGCCCUGUCAGAGCAACCUCUCAAAGUUUCAGUUUCUCUUGCCCUAAAGCAAGGAGAAAAGUCUUGCCUUCCGGGGUGCUGUGGUGACUAAAGGGACAAGGACCGGGCCCAGGACAGGUUGUCAGUGCACAACUGAUUGGAAACAACUGAUUGGAAACUGAUUGGAAGCAGUCUCCCCAAGUGCUCUGACUCCUGGUCCCUGUCAUUUAAGACAGAGAAUGCACAGACGAAGAGCACAGUCUUUGGAACCAGGCUGCCUGGGAUCAAACCCUGGCUCCACUGCCCAAUAGCUGUGUGACCUUGGACAAGUUACCCACCUUCUCUGGGCCUCCAUUUUCUCUUUCGUAAAAUGGGGCAGUGAGGGAACUUAUGUUGUAGGGUUGGGGUGUAAAGCUCACUGCACACAUCGGGCAUGGCCUGCACACCUCCUGUUCUCACCCCGUGUUCUGCAGAUGGGACGGCCUCGGCCCUGACUGUACUGCUCUUCUGCACCUGUGUUUUCUGAGCCAUCAAAAGCAUCUCGAUCCUGGCCAGGUGCAGUGGCUCACGCCUGUAAUCCCAGCACCUUGGGAGGCCGAGGCGGGUGGAUCAUGAGGUCAGGAGUUCGAGACCAGCCUGACCAACAUGGUGAAACCCUGUCUCUACUAAAAAUACAAAAAUUAGCUGGGCGUGGUGGCGGGCACCUGUAAUCCCAGCUACUGAGGAUGCUGAGGCAGGAGAAUCGCUUGAACCCGGAGGCGGAGGUUGCAGUGAGCCUAGUUCACACCAUUGCGCUCCAGCCUGGGUGACAGAAUGAGACCCCGUCUAAAAAAAAAGAAAGGCAUCUCGAUUGCUAAACCCACUUCAGUUCUGAUUCCACUUUGCUUCUCACCAGCACGUAGCGCUGAUCAUGGUCUUUCCCCUGAAAUGCUCUUUUCCUGGGGUCAAAGGGAACCGAUGGCUGUAGGACAGGGAGAUCACUGGGGCAGGACAGUAUUGCAUUGGCUCCUUGGCAUUCUGGCAUACCAGGUGGGGAAAGGUUUGAGGCCUGUGAUGUGGGGUUGCCUGGGUCGGGAUAUCGCCUCCCCAUCUGCAUAAGAAGGGCCUCACAUUCAGUGGACUCUGCCUCAUCAGCUCUGAGCACCUGCUGAUAACAGUCCUGGAAAAGGGUUUGGUAACAAAAGCCAACAUUUCCCAGAGUCCUUGGCCAUAGGUGGAAAUUUGGGGAUGAGGAGGGGAUUUGGGAGGGAGGGGCUGCAGGUUGUGGGGCCACACUGGUGGGUAAAGAAAGCCAGAGAGUGGGGAGAGGAGAGGAACAAGUGAACAGACAAGGGAAUAGUAGGGGCGGGUGGGAGCAGCUUGGCCUGUAGUACCGUCUGUUCUGGAUUUGUGUUGCCCACAAACCCUAGCUUCUGAGCAGAGCCAGUUCCCAAGGACAACUUAGAAUCUUUAACACGCAAUUGAGACUUUGUUGUGCAUUUCCUGUAUUUCCUCAAAGGCUCCGUCCACGGGGAUUUUACUGCCCAGCAAAACGUCAGGAGAAUCUUUAAGCAUUUCUUCCUCCCUUCAGGUUUUCCCUCAUGGCGGCUGCUGUCUAGGCCUCCCUGGAGUCCCCUCGACUGUGCCUCAGCAUUUCCUUCAAACUCCUUCCUUUGGGAAGCCAGGUUCUCACGCAUGUCCUGUGCGCUGAGCAGCGUCCUUCUUUCCUUUUUUACAUCUUUCCAUUUUUAUGGAAAAAGAUAUAAAGCAUUCCAUUUUCACAUCUCAGCCUCAGAACGAGGACAUCUGAAGGCUCCAUGACAUUUGGAGGGGUAGGGAAGUGGACUCUCCCUUGUAUGCCAACAAAUUAGAUAGCUUGGAUGAAAUGGACUGAUUCAUAGAAAGACACAAGCUAUUGAAACUGACUCCAAAAGAAGUAAAAAAAUCUGAGCAGAACUAUGAUAUGGUUUGGCUCUGUGUCCCCACCCAAAUCUCAUGUUGAAUUGUAAUCUCCAGUGUUGGAGGAGGGACCUGGUGGAGGUGACUGGAUCAUGGAGGUGGAUUUCCCCCUUGCUGUUCUCCUGAUAGUGAGUGAGUUCUCACAAGAUCUGGUUGUUUGAAAGUGUGUAGCACCUCCCCCUUUGCUCUCUCUCCUGCCGGUCAUAUGAAGAUGUGCCUGCUUUCCCUUCACCUUCUGCCAUGACUGUUAAGUUUCCUGAGGCCUCCCAAGAAGCAGAACCAUGAGCUGAUUAAACCUGUCUCUUUCUUUCUUUCUUUCUCUCUCUCUCUCUCUCUCUCUCUCUUUCUUUCUUUCUUUCUUUCUUUCUUUCUUUCUUUCUUUCUUCUUUCUUUCUUUCAUUCUUUCAUUCUUUCUUUCUUUCUUUCUUUCUCUUUCUUUCUUCUCUCUUCUUCUUUUUCUUUCCUCUCUCUCUCUUUCUCUCUUUCUUUCUUUCUUACCCAAUGCCUGUACCAUUGCAUCUUGGAAGUAACUAACUUAUUUUUGAUUUUACAGGCUCACAGGCAGAAGGGAUUUGUCUUGUCUCAGAUGAGACUUUGUACUUGGACUUUUGAGUUAAUGCUGGAGUGAAUUAAGACUGUAGGGGACUGUUGGAAAGGCACAAUUGUGUUUUGAAAUGUGAGAAGGACAUGAGAUUUGGGAGGGGCCGGGGGUGGAAUGAUACAGUUUUGUCAGAGACAUUGAACCAGAGCAACUCUAUUUUGAAUUGGGGCUGAGUAAAAUAAGGCCUGGACCUACUGGGCUGCAUUCCAGGAGGUCAGGCAUCCUUAGUCGCUGGAUGAGAUAGGAGGUCAGCACAAGAUAUAGGUCACAAAGACCUUGCUGAUAAAACCAGCUGUGGCAAAGAAGCUGCCAAAACCCACCAAAACCAAGAUGGCGAUGAGAGUGACUGCUGGUGGUCCUCACAGCUCAUCAAACUCAAGUUACAAUACAUUAACAAGCUAGCAGACACUCCCCCAGCAACCAUGUCGGUUUACAAAUGACAUGGCACUGUCAGGAAGUUACCCUGUGUGGUCUAAAAAGGAGAGGAACCCUCAGUUCUGGGAAUUGCCCACCCCUUUCCUGGAAAACUCAUGAAUAAUCCACUCCUUGUUUAGCAUAUAAUCAAGAAGUAACCAUAAAAAUGGGCACCCUGGCUGGGCAUGGUGGCUCACACCUGUAAUCCCAGCACUUUGGGAGGCCGAGGCCAGUGGAUCACUUGAGGUCAGGAGUUCAAGACCAGCCUGGCCACAUGGUGAAACCCCGUCUCUACUAAAAAUAUAAAGUUAGCUGGGCGUGGCGGCAGACGCCUAUAGUCCCAGCUACUCAGGAGGCUGAGGCAGGAGAAUCGCUUGAAUCCGGGAGGCGGAGCUUGCAGUGAGCCAAGGUCGCACCACUGCACUCCAGCUUGGGUGACAGAGUGAGACUCUGUUUAAAAAAAAAAAAAAAUAGGCAGCCAGCAGCUCUUGGGUCUGCUCUGCCUAUGAAGUAGCCAUUUUUAUUCCUUUACUUUCUCAAUAAACUUGCUUUCACUUUA
Molecule: long non-coding RNA, 3497 nt
Organism: Symphalangus syndactylus (siamang)
Lineage: Eukaryota; Metazoa; Chordata; Mammalia; Primates; Hylobatidae
Source: RefSeq, a predicted model, not a curated record